This 370-nucleotide ribosomal RNA is filed under the name uncultured eukaryote. Its description in RNAcentral is "partial 18S ribosomal RNA". It matches the Rfam family "Eukaryotic small subunit ribosomal RNA", at positions 592 to 976 of the family's 1831-position model. The record is from RNAcentral.
CAAUAGCGUAUAUUAAAGUUGUUGCAGUUAAAAAGCUCGUAGUUGGAUUUCUGGUCGGAAGCUCCUGUCCUCUGAUGAGCGUACAAGUGCGUCCUACCAUCCUUCUCUUAACCUUUAAGGCUUUCGCGGCUUUCUAGGGGCUCAGAUAUUUUACCUUGAGAAAAUUAGAGUGUUUCAGGCAGGCUAGCGCCGGAAUACAUUAGCAUGGAAUAAUGGAAUGGGACUUUUGCCUCUUCUGUUGGUCAUGAGGCUCGAGUAAUGAUUAAUAGGGAUAGUUGGGGGCAUUAGUACUUAACUGUCAGAGGUGAAAUUCUCGGAUUUGUUAAAGACUAACUUAUGCGAAAGCAUUUGCCAAGGAUGUUUUCAUUAA